This 442-nucleotide ribosomal RNA is filed under the name uncultured bacterium. RNAcentral's name for it is "partial 16S ribosomal RNA". It matches the Rfam family "Bacterial small subunit ribosomal RNA", at positions 338 to 795 of the family's 1533-position model. The record is from RNAcentral.
CCUACGGGAGGCAGCAGUGGGGAAUAUUGGGCAAUGGGCGCAAGCCUGACCCAGCAACGCCGCGUGAAGGAAGAAGGCUUUCGGGUUGUAAAAUUCUUUUGUCAGGGAAGAGUAGAAGACGGUACCUGACGAAUAAGCCACGGCUAACUACGUGCCAGCAGCCGCGGUAAUACGUAGGUGGCAAGCGUUGUCCGGAUUUACUGGGUGUAAAGGGCGUGUAGCCGGUUUGACAAGUCAGUUGUGAAAUCCUGCGGCUUAACCGCAGAACUGCAUUUGAAACUGUUGAUCUUGAGUGCUGGAGAGGCAGAUGGAAUGCAUGGUGUAGCGGUGAAAUGCGUAGAGAUUAGGAGGAACACCAGUGGCGAAGGCGGUCUGCUGAACAGCAACUGACGGUGAGGCGCGAAAGCGGGGGGAGCAAACAGGAUUAGAUACCCGAGUAGUC